This 440-nucleotide ribosomal RNA is filed under the name uncultured bacterium. Its description in RNAcentral is "partial 16S ribosomal RNA". It matches the Rfam family "Bacterial small subunit ribosomal RNA", at positions 29 to 505 of the family's 1533-position model. The record is from RNAcentral.
AUGCACGCUGGCGGCAUGCCUAACACAUGCAAGUCGAUCGGUAAGGCUCUUCGGAGUACACGAGAGGCGGACGGCUGAGUAACGCGUAGGAACACACCCUGCAGUGAGGGAUAAGACACCGAAAGGUGUUCUAAUACCGCAUACGGUCUUCGGAUUAAAGCAUUUAUGCGCUGAAGGAGUGGCCUGCGUCAUAUUAGAUAGUUGGUGAGGUAAUGGCUCACCAAGUCGAUGAUGUGUAGCUGGUCUGAGAGGAUGAUCAGCCAGACUGGAACUGAGACACGGUCCAGACUCCUACGGGAGGCAGCAGUGAGGAAUAUUUCACAAUGAGCGAAAGCUUGAUGGAGCAAUGCCGCGUGCAGGAUGAAGGCCUUCGGGUUGUAAACUGCUUUUAUAAGAGAAGAUUAUGACGGUAACUUAUGAAUAAGGGACGGCUAACUACG